UACGAAGGGGGCGAGCGUUGUUCGGAUUUACUGGGCGUAAAGGGCGCGCAGGCGGUUCUGUUUGUCGAGUGUGAAAGCCCCGGGCUCAACCUGGGAACUGCGCUCGAAACGGCGGAACUAGAGUUCGGGAGAGGAGAGUGGAAUUCCCAGUGUAGAGGUGAAAUUCGUAGACAUUGGGAAGAACACCGGUGGCGAAGGCGGCCUGCUGGGCAGUUGCUGACGCUGAGGCGCGACAGCGUGGGGAGCAAACAGG
This 253-nucleotide ribosomal RNA is filed under the name uncultured bacterium. Its description in RNAcentral is "partial 16S ribosomal RNA". It matches the Rfam family "Bacterial small subunit ribosomal RNA", at positions 524 to 776 of the family's 1533-position model. The record is from RNAcentral.